RNAcentral lists this ribosomal RNA (406 nucleotides) under uncultured bacterium. RNAcentral's name for it is "partial 16S ribosomal RNA". It matches the Rfam family "Bacterial small subunit ribosomal RNA", at positions 30 to 526 of the family's 1533-position model. The record is from RNAcentral.
AUUGAACGCUGGCGGCAGGCCUAACACAUGCAAGUCGAACGAGCGGCGGACGGGUGAGUAAUGUCUGGGCAACUGCCUGAUGGAGGGGUAUAACUACUGGAAACGGUAGCUAAUACCGCAUACCAUCAGAUGUGCCCAGAUGGGAUUAGCCUAUAGGUGGGGUAACGGCUCACCUAGGCGACGAUCCCUAGCUGGUCUGAGAGGAUGACCAGCCACACUGGAACUGAGGCACGGUCCAGACUCCUACGUGAGGCAGCAGUGGGGAAUAUGGCACUAUGGGAGAAAGCCUGAUGCAGCCAUGCCGCGUGUAUGAAGAGGGCCUUCAGGUUGUAAAUUACUUUCAGCGGGGAGGCGUUACCCGCAGAAGAAGCACCGGCUAACUCCGUGCCAGCAGCCGCGGUAAUAC